GACGAACGCUGGCGGCGUGCUUAACACAUGCAAGUCGAACGGAAAGGCCCUGCUUUUGUGGGGUGCUCGAGUGGCGAACGGGUGAGUAACACGUGAGUAACCUGCCCUUGACUUUGGGAUAACUUCAGGAAACUGGGGCUAAUACCGGAUAGGAGCUCCUGCUGCAUGGUGGGGGGUGGAAAGUUUCGGCGGUUGGGGAUGGACUCGCGGCUUAUCGGCUUGUUGGUGGGGUAGUGGCUUACCAAGGCUUUGACGGGUAGCCGGCCUGAGAGGGUGACCGGCCACAUUGGGACUGGGAUACGGCCCAGACUCCUACGGGAGGCAGCGGUGGGGAAUAUUGCACAAUGGGCGGAAGCCUGAUGAAGCAACGCCGCGUGCGGGAUGACGGCCUUCGGGUCGUAAACCGCUUUCGCCUGUGACGAAGCGUGAGUGACGGUAAUGGGUAAAGAAGCACCGGCUAACUACGUG
Molecule: ribosomal RNA, 468 nt
Filed under: uncultured bacterium
Lineage: Bacteria
Description: partial 16S ribosomal RNA
Rfam family: Bacterial small subunit ribosomal RNA
Source: RNAcentral